AUACUUAACAUGGCAGAGGAGAUAUCAUAAUCACAAAGGUGGUUUUCCCCGGGCAAGCCUUAUCCACUGCAUUUCAGAUGUGCUCACCUCUGUGAUUUCCCCAAAUGUGGAAAACUGGACUGCAUAAUUUGUGGUAGUGGGGGACUGCAUUAAUACCGUCCUCUG
Gorilla gorilla gorilla (western lowland gorilla) is the source of this 165-nucleotide small nuclear RNA. Its record names the gene U1. It matches the Rfam family "U1 spliceosomal RNA". Rfam says of the family: U1 is a small nuclear RNA (snRNA) component of the spliceosome (involved in pre-mRNA splicing). Its 5' end forms complementary base pairs with the 5' splice junction, thus defining the 5' donor site of an intron. There are significant differences in sequence and secondary structure between metazoan and yeast U1 snRNAs, the latter being much longer (568 nucleotides as compared to 164 nucleotides in human). The record is from Ensembl. NCBI's taxonomy places the organism in Eukaryota, Metazoa, Chordata, Mammalia, Primates, Hominidae.